UACGUAGGGUGCAAGCGUUGUCCGGAAUUAUUGGGCGUAAAGAGCUCGUAGGCGGUCUGUCGCGUCUGCUGUGAAAACUCGGGGCUUAACCCCGGGCCUGCAGUGGGUACGGGCAGACUAGAGUGCGGUAGGGGAGACUGGAAUUCCUGGUGUAGCGGUGAAAUGCGCAGAUAUCAGGAGGAACACCGGUGGCGAAGGCGGCUGCCUGGACCAGUCCUGACGCUGAGGCGCGAAAGCUAGGGGAGCAAACAGG
Molecule: ribosomal RNA, 253 nt
Filed under: uncultured bacterium
Lineage: Bacteria
Description: partial 16S ribosomal RNA
Rfam family: Bacterial small subunit ribosomal RNA
Source: RNAcentral